Molecule: ribosomal RNA, 497 nt
Filed under: uncultured bacterium
Lineage: Bacteria
Description: partial 16S ribosomal RNA
Rfam family: Bacterial small subunit ribosomal RNA
Source: RNAcentral
GAUAAACGCUGGCGGCGUGCAUAAUACAUGCAAGUCGAGCGGACGUACGCGAAACUUGCUUCUCUGAUGUUAGCUGCGGGCGGGUGAGUAAGAAAUGGAUAAGCUACCUAUCAGACUGGGAUAACUUAGGGAAAGAGGAGCUUAUAAAUAAUGAUAUUUUCAAACACAUGAUUCGAAAAUGAAAGACAAUCAUGCUGUCGCUUAUAGAUGGAUUUGCGCUGGAUUAGCUAGUUGGUAGGGUAACGGCUUACCAAGGCGACGAUGCAUAGCCGACCUGAGAGGGUGAUCGGUCACCCGAGAACUGAGACACGGUCCAGACUCCGACGGGAGGCAGCAGUAGGGAAUCUUCCGCAAUGGGCGGAAGCCUGACGGAGCAAAGGCGGGUGAGUGAUGAGGAGCGUCGGAUCGUAAAACACUGUUAUUAGGGAAGUACAUAUGUGUAAGUAACGGGGCACAACUUGACGGUACCUAAGCAGAAAGCCACGGCUAACUACGUG